This 431-nucleotide ribosomal RNA is filed under the name Nauphoeta cinerea (gray cockroach). RNAcentral's name for it is "partial 16S ribosomal RNA". It matches the Rfam family "Bacterial large subunit ribosomal RNA", at positions 1829 to 2523 of the family's 2925-position model. The record is from RNAcentral. Lineage: Eukaryota; Metazoa; Arthropoda; Insecta; Blattodea; Blaberidae.
CUCUUCUUGAUAUUUUUAAGAAGUAAUACCUGCCCAAUGAUAAUAUUUAAUGGCCGCGGUAUUUUGACCGUGCAAAGGUAGCAUAAUCAUUAGUCUUUUAAUUGAAGGCUGGAAUGAAUGGUUAGACGAGAUAAAUACUAUCUUAUUGGUAAUGAAUUGAAUUUAAUUAUUAGGUAAAAAAGCUUAAAUAAUUUUAUGGGACGAGAAGACCCUAUAGAGUUUAAUACUUAUUUAUUUAAUUUUGUGGGAAAAUUUUAUUAUAAUUGGUAAGUAUUUUGUUGGGGUGAUGGAAAGAUAAUUGUAACUCUUUUUUGAAUAUAAAUACUUAUGUGUAUGUUCUUGAUCCACUAAUAGUGAUUAUAAGACUAAAUUACCUUAGGGAUAACAGCGUAAUCUUUUCUGAGAGUUCUAAUCGAGGAAGAGGAUUGCGA